Molecule: non-coding RNA, 93 nt
Organism: Mycena rebaudengoi
Lineage: Eukaryota; Fungi; Basidiomycota; Agaricomycetes; Agaricales; Mycenaceae
Source: the annotation of a GenBank genome assembly
GGACUAAUAGCGAAAAUGGUAUCGCAUCCACUCCUGCUGGGACGAAUGCGUGGGUUUCUGUGGAAGUUCCUCGUUCGAAUCGAGGUUGGGUCA